This 2672-nucleotide long non-coding RNA is filed under the name Olea europaea (common olive). RNAcentral describes it as "long non-coding RNA (OEUR_LNC014037)". The record is from RNAcentral. Lineage: Eukaryota; Viridiplantae; Streptophyta; Magnoliopsida; Lamiales; Oleaceae.
AGCAAGUUAGUAUUAUGGCUAAGAUUUACUUGAGUCGAGGGCCACCAUUGAUUGCCAGUGGGCACCAUUGGUUGUAAUUUGCCAUCUACCUCCUUUGACCACACGGUAGCUAAAUUGGAAUUUGCUACCUUGUAAGUGGCAAUUCUCUACAUUAUUGUGCAAGUUGUCAUGCAUCUACAUCGUGUCCGUUUUCAACUUUAUGCAAGCUAAUGUGCAAGUUGCAUUUUACUUUCCAACCAUAUGCUAGUUGGCAAUGACACUUUAAAUGCAAGUGGAUAAUCUCUACAAUUCAUAUGCAAGUGGACCUGUCCUUAUCAUAGUGGCCAAGUUGGACUUUGCUUUUUUCCUUCAAGCUUGUAGUAGUCAUUCUAACUUGGCUUCCUUGAGCAAGUGUAUAAGUUGGCGCCUAUUUGCGUCUAAAACAAUCGGCCACAGUCUACUGUAUAAAGUGUUUUCACCUUAGAAAAAUCUAAAUUCCAUCCCAACGCCCCUUGUUGGCAUUUUUCUAGUCUGCGUCUUGUUUGCACAGCCUGUUUGCAUUUGUUGCCUACACAGUUUGCCAACAUUAUUGGUUGCAUCCCCUAUCGCAAUGCUUGCAUAUUCUUCCUGCCUAUGUUCCUGCAUUUCCUAUCAUAGGGAGUUACGUCAAGCCGUACCAUACCACUUCACAACUUGAUUUUUCCAGUCGCAACUUGGAUGUAUUGGCUAUAACCAUGAGGAGGUAAGUCACUCUCCUAUCAAAUUAGGCAACUCCCUCAUCCCAAUAUAACGUACAGCCUGUUUGCAUUUGUUGCCUACACAGUUUGCCAACAUUAUUGGUUGCAUCCCCUAUCGCAAUGCUUGCAUAUUCUUCCUUGCCUAUGUUCCUGCAUUUCCUAUCAUAGGGAGUUACGUCAAGCCGUACCAUACCACUUCACAACUUGAUUUUUCCAGUUGCAACUUGGAUGUAUUGGCUAUAACCAUGAGGAGGUAAGUCACUCUCCUAUCAAAUUAGGCAACUCCCUCAUCCCAAUAUAACGCCAAAACUUAGACUUAAUUUGCCAUGGUCUACUUCAUUUUCUCUUCUUUGUGUCAUGACAUUCUUACAUCAUGUCAAACCUCGAGUCAUGAUAAGUUUGAGCGUGACAUUGUGAUACCACUUGUUUCAGGCUUAGUUUCAUAACUCCCAAACCGUGCUAGCACCAUGCAGCUUAGCACUCCACAACUCCCAGGUUGCGAUCAAUUCGUCUCGACAGCGAUCGCAAAACAGUGCAGACAAGGCACUUUUAUAAGACGAAAUUGCUUGCGGCAAGGGACGCGGGUAGGAAAUGGAGGCAGACUAUACAGGCAGGACAUAGGCUGGAGGAUGUAGGUAGCUGUGCAGUUACGAAAAUGAGGUCUUUUCUAAGUUAAAAACCAUAGUUUGAGGAAGAUAAUAUCGUGGACUGCAGCCGAUUGUUUUGAAUGCAAGUGGACAACAACUUGUACAACUUGCAUGAAAAAGCAAUGUCCAACUUGACUACAACAAAGUUUGAUGGAAGAACCAAUGUUCAAAUUGGCUACUAUAAUAGGGACAUGCCCACUUGCACAUGAGCUGUUGAGAUUUGUCACUAGAAUUGAAAAGGAUAUGCCAACUAGUAUAGAGUUGGAUAGGGAUAUGUACCUUGUAACAUGACUACUUGCAAAGAAGCAAAAUCCAGUUUGAUUACCACUUGCUCAAAUGAGGUUAGUUGCAACUUGCAUAAAGGUGGCAUGCAACUUGCAACCAUUGAUGACCUUUGGAUCAAGUUAAUCCUGAAUAUUAAUUCCAACUUGUUAUUCAAGAGUUUGCCUAUAAAUAGAGGUAGUUCAUUUGUAAAUCAUAAGGAGUGAAGUGAAAAUAUAUUUAGAGAGAUUGUAAAGUUUCUCUCAUUUAUACAAAGGAGAUUUUUCCCAAACUUAUUGUCUUGUUACUUUCCUUAUAAUUUCAUUCUCUAUUCAAAGUUAUCAUAUAAUUUAACUCCAAAGGUUGAAUUAACGUGGGUGUUAGAAAGGCUGAUUUAACGUUUUCUUGCGGGGACGGGAAUUAUGAAAUGUGAAAGCCGUACAGUACUUGUAAGUUUGGGUGUAACUAAAAUAAGUCCAUGACAAUUAGCACUGUUACUAUAUAAUUCCAUGGCUGGCGUCCAUCUUGUAAUUAAUGAACUGUUGUUUUCAACUAUUGCUCAUAGUUGAAAUACUAAUAUAUUUUCUAAGGAUGCAUAUUCUAUCUAUUUCAUAAUCUUGGAUUAGAAGCUACAAAUAAAUUAUCUUGUUACUAAUUGUCCAACUGUGCAAUGCACGGACUAUGUCAUUUUUUAGGUAAUAUUAAAUUAUUAACGUGUCAAAAUAUCUAUUCAGUUCUCUCAAUAAAUUUACAAAUUUGAUUAAUUGUUUAAAAUGAUAAAUGGAAAUGAAAUCUUCAUAUAUGACACACUUUUGACAUUAAAAAAAAAUUAAAAUUUUAUUAGGAAAUUUUCUAAAUGACGUCAAAAAUUUUAUUAGAUUAUUUAAAAACUUAAUUGAUCGAGAGGAAAAAGUAACAAUAAGGAAAAAAAUUCUAAAAAUGAUCGAAUUUCUUUUAUAUACAAAAUAUUUUCAGAUGUUAAAAUAUCAAGAUGAAAAAUUAGUUGGCCUCAAUUUUGUGUUGCUAUUAUUGAAAUGUAUUUUCUGGG